CCUACGGGAGGCAGCAGUGGGGAAUAUUGCACAAUGGGGGAAACCCUGAUGCAGCGAUGCCGCGUGGAGGAAGAAGGUUUUCGGAUUGUAAACUCCUUUUAUCAGGGACGAUAAUGACGGUACCUGAAGAAAAAGCUCCGGCUAACUACGUGCCAGCAGCCGCGGUAAUACGUAGGGAGCGAGCGUUGUCCGGAAUUACUGGGUGUAAAGGGAGCGUAGGCGGGACGGCAAGUCUGGAGUGAAAUGCCGGGGCCCAACCCCGGAACUGCUCUGGAAACUGUGAAGCUGGAGUGCAGGAGAGGUAAGCGGAAUUCCUGGUGUAGCGGUGAAAUGCGUAGAUAUCAGGAGGAACACCGGCGGCGAAGGCGGCUUACUGGACUGUAACUGACGUUGAGGCUCGAAGGCGUGGGGAGCAAACAGGAUUAGAUACCCCGGUAGUC
Molecule: ribosomal RNA, 440 nt
Filed under: uncultured bacterium
Lineage: Bacteria
Description: partial 16S ribosomal RNA
Rfam family: Bacterial small subunit ribosomal RNA
Source: RNAcentral